AUAGAACUUAAUGUUAAAGUACGAAGAGAUACUUAGAAAGUGGAAAAUCACCUUUUCUAGGUGCUUAUGUCCUUCAUCUGCUGUAGAAGAGCCAAGGUGUCCAACCUGAGCUGAACAGUUGACUCUCAAGUCAUCUAAAGAGGAGGAAACUCUGCAUCAAAAGCUCUUACAUCAGUAGAAAUUGCAGAACUUGUGCCUGGAAUCAUCAAUCCAGAGACUGUCUGUGCUAAUCCACAUGGAAGAUGCCUGGAAGGUCAAGCAAAAUACUGCUUCUGUCUGUGGAGAGAUGUCAUCAUUCUCAAUGUUCUCAGCACUGCCAAGUGUUUGAUCUAUAAAUCUAUAUUUACGGCAACAGUUCACAUUCACACUGAAAACCUGCAAACCAUUUUGCCCAGCAGUAGUCAGUAUAUUAAUUUGCAACACAGUUGGCAGAGUAUAUAGUAAACAGAGUGGCCAUCCAGUUUUCUUCAAAGUCUUCUUUACAGAGGAUGAACAUGCUGUUAGCUACAUCUUCGAAAGCUUAUAUGAAUGUGCACUUUAUAAGGUUAUAACAUGUUCCCAUAAUCAAGAAUGAAAAGGGGGGGGAAAGUACAACAAAAGCAGAAACAAAAUACUCCACAACCAAUGUCAAUUGUUUUCUGUCAUUAUCUGCAACAUUUUAAAACAGGAGAGCAGAGGGUUUUUUGUCCAUAACAGUGGUAAUUUUCCACUUUCUAACUAAGGCUUGUUUCUUGAUCUGAGCAAUAUUAGCUCUGAAAGUUCUGGCUAUUUAGCCAUAUAUCUUACAUCAAACAAGACCCAAAUCAGUGUCAUAUAAGCCUUUAAAGAAUUCCACAAAAUUAAACAUUGCAGUUAAACAUUACAAAAUGUUUAAAGUCAAUUAUCAAGGAGUAUUUUUCACAAGAAUAUGUCUAAUACUUUUCACAAGAAUAUUUUAAUACAAAAUUUAGUAUAGGGUAUGGGUAAAUAUUUCUUGUAACUUUGUAUCCUGAUUACAUUCUCCUUCCUUCAUCUUCCUCUGACCAUAUGGUGGUCCCAUGAAGAGCUUUAAUCAAAGAAUCUUCUGACAGUUUUAAGUAGGAUGAUAGUAAGCCUAAUCAAGUUCAUCUGAAAGAUCUAUGGAACAGUCAGCCCAAAACCAGUGAAACAAGCCUGAAAGGACUCCAGGAGAUACAGAUCAUUUCUGCAGUUGACCAGUGAAAUGAGAAGUGUAGAAAUGUUGUCAGCUGUGAAACAAAACUCUCCUGAGCAGAAUUCACAGGUUACUGAGGAAUGCAAGGGGUGUGAAACAAAGCCUGGAAAGCAUUGCAAGACCACUAAGUGGAGAGUUGAGAAACCAAGAACUGUAAACAAUUUCUUCUUGCUUGAUUUGUUGGGAGUACCACAGUAUACCAGCUUCCAGAAAAAAGAAUGAGAGAAAGAUGUAUCUCAGUAAGGACAGAAGAACAGGCAGAGGUCAUCAGCUUCGAAAGCCCUUUUUUGGCUUUGCAUGUUGCCAUUAUACAGUGAAUAGCUUGACAAUUGUUCUACAGAAAUUCAGCUGGAGUCAGUUUCAAAUAUACUUGGUUUUCUGCUUUCUUAGUCUUUACCAAAGAUAGGGGAAGCAGCAUCAAACCGCAUGCAGGUUUAUUUCUGGGAAUAUCCAGACCUUGUAAUGUCCUUCAGUCUUCUGAAUAAUGAAACAAAUUUACUCAUUCGCAUGGAGAUGAUCAUCGUAACCUAGAUUUUUAGUCUUCAGUAAGGGAUAGCAUAGUAAGUUCAGAGAAAGGAUGGGGGAAGGAAUAGCAUUUCAAUAAUUUGAAAAAAUACUGCUGCAGUCAAUAAAUUACACUUUUGUUCUUCCCUAGUGAUUUUUUGCACCUUGAUAAAUUAGCUUAAAACUGUCAGGUUGAAAAAAAAAAAUCUAAAAUGUGCCUGUUUACCUGAGUUGAAAGCUUGAACUGGAUUUCUCUUACUCUCAGCAGAAGUGACUUUUAGAUGAAAGCUGAACUCUGACCUUGUCAUAUAAUCUCUGCUGAAAUCAGUGAAAUGUGCAUUUACUACCAAGUGAAGAAAUCAGUUCAGACAUAGCAUCCUUAUCAGAUAUUGGAAUUAAAAUAGCUGCAUCAAGUCUUAAAUGCCUACCCUAUAUUUAUCUCUCUCUUAUGUUGUCCUUGAUACUUCUGAAGCUAAAUCCAGCUGAGAUCACUGCAUCUAAAAAUGGCUGUUUCUCUUUAAAAGCUUUGUGUCCCUUUACAGAUCCUUUCCUCCACAUACGGAGUAGAGGACAUAUAAUUCCACUGUUGCUGAUGCAAUAGAAAAUACAAUGGAA
Molecule: long non-coding RNA, 2311 nt
Filed under: Gallus gallus (chicken)
Lineage: Eukaryota; Metazoa; Chordata; Aves; Galliformes; Phasianidae
Description: lncRNA (ENSGALG00010004801.1)
Source: RNAcentral